CGUAGGUGGCAAGCGUUGUCCGGAAUUAUUGGGCGUAAAGCGCGCGCAGGCGGUCCUUUAAGUCUGAUGUGAAAGCCCACGGCUCAACCGUGGAGGGUCAUUGGAAACUGGAGGACUUGAGUGCAGAAGAGGAAAGUGGAAUUCCAAGUGUAGCGGUGAAAUGCGUAGAGAUUUGGAGGAACACCAGUGGCGAAGGCGACUUUCUGGUCUGUAACUGACGCUGAGGCGCGAAAGCGUGGGGAGCAAACAGGAUU
Molecule: ribosomal RNA, 254 nt
Filed under: uncultured bacterium
Lineage: Bacteria
Description: partial 16S ribosomal RNA
Rfam family: Bacterial small subunit ribosomal RNA
Source: RNAcentral